CGCGUAGGCGGUUUGAUAAGUCAGAUGUGAAAGCCCACGGCUUAACUGUGGAAGUGCAUUUGAAACUGUCAGACUUGAGUAUCAGAGGGGAAAGUGGAAUUCCCGGUGUAGAGGUGAAAUUCGUAAGAUAUCGGGAGGAAUACCGGUGGCGAAGGCGACUUUCUGGCUGAAUACUGACGCUGAGGCGCGAAAGCGUGGGGAGCAAACA
RNAcentral lists this ribosomal RNA (208 nucleotides) under uncultured delta proteobacterium. RNAcentral's name for it is "partial 16S ribosomal RNA". It matches the Rfam family "Bacterial small subunit ribosomal RNA", at positions 568 to 774 of the family's 1533-position model. The record is from RNAcentral. Lineage: Bacteria; Deltaproteobacteria.